RNAcentral lists this ribosomal RNA (497 nucleotides) under uncultured bacterium. Its description in RNAcentral is "partial 16S ribosomal RNA". It matches the Rfam family "Bacterial small subunit ribosomal RNA", at positions 28 to 507 of the family's 1533-position model. The record is from RNAcentral.
GAUGAACGCUGGCGGCGUGCCUAAUACAUGCAAGUCGAGCGAACAGACGAGGAGCUUGCUCCUCUGACGUUAGCGGCGGACGUGUGAGUAACACGUGGAUAACCUACCUAUAAUACUGGGAUAACUACGGGAAACCGGCGCUAAUACCGGAUAAUAUAUUGAACCGCAUGGUUCAAUAGUGAAAGACGGUUUUGCUGUCACUUCUCGAUGGAUCCGCGCCGCAUUAGCUAGUUGGUAAGGUAACGGCUUACCACGGCAACGAUGCGUAGCCGACCUGAUAGGGGGAUCGGCCACACUGGAACUGAGACACGGUCCAGACUCCUACGGGAGGCAGCAGUAGGGAAUCUUCCGCAAUGGGCGAAAGCCUGACGGAGCAACGCCGCGUGAGUGAUGAAGGUCUUCGGAUCGUAAAACUCUGUUAUUAGGUAAGAACAAAUGUGUAAGUAACUAUGCACGUCUUGACGGUACCUAAUCAGAAAGCCACGGCUAACUACGUG